UGAAUAUAUGGAUAGCCGCUCC
This 22-nucleotide unclassified non-coding RNA is filed under the name Mus musculus (house mouse). RNAcentral's name for it is "oocyte_clustered_small_RNA12805". The record is from RNAcentral. Lineage: Eukaryota; Metazoa; Chordata; Mammalia; Rodentia; Muridae.